Molecule: ribosomal RNA, 496 nt
Filed under: uncultured bacterium
Lineage: Bacteria
Description: partial 16S ribosomal RNA
Rfam family: Bacterial small subunit ribosomal RNA
Source: RNAcentral
AUGAACGCUGGCGGCGUGCCUCAUACAUGCAAGUCGAGCGAACAGAUAAGGAGCUUGCUCCUUUGACGUUAGCGGCGGACGGGUGAGUAACACGUGGGUAACCUACCUAUAAGACUGGGAUAACUUCGGGAAACCGGAGCUAAUACCGGAUAACAUUUGGAACCGCAUGGUUCUAAAGUGAAAGAUGGUUUUGCUAUCACUUAUAGAUGGACCCGCGCCGUAUUAGCUAGUUGGUAAGGUAACGGCUUACCAAGGCGACGAUACGUAGCCGACCUGAGAGGGUGAUCGGCCACACUGGAACUGAGACACGGUCCAGACUCCUACGGGAGGCAGCAGUAGGGAAUCUUCCGCAAUGGGCGAAAGCCUGACGGAGCAACGCCGCGUGAGUGAUGAAGGGUUUCGGCUCGUAAAACUCUGUUAUUAGGGAAGAACAAAUGUGUAAGUAACUGUGCACGUCUUGACGGUACCUAAUCAGAAAGCCACGGCUAACUACGUG